GGCCGUCAGAGUGACGUGAGUCAGGCUGGUGUGAGUCAGGCUGGCGUGAGGAGAGGCCCGCCUUUAUCAGGGGCGCCCAGGCAGGGCUGCCACGAGAUGUGAGACCCGGAGACGCACGGGGCGGCGGAGGCUUACACGCAACUCUGGACGAAGUGCAGGGGGCCGGGCUCCGGGAAGCAAAGGCAGGUACCUGGGAAAGAAGGAUUCAGUUUCUGAACAAGCCGCUCCUCCACAGCCCCCCGGAACAAGUGGAGUUGGAGACGAGGCCCCACUGUGUUUCCCACAGGAAGUGAAGGGCAGCCCUGACCCGGGCGCGGCGACAGUGGGGUCGGAGGACAGGCCGGAGAGAAAGGCGGCCGCACUCUGGAACCGGCCGGUCCGCCCUGUCUGCGGGGUGCGGGAGACCUGUGCUUGACCAUCGGCACCUUCUGCUUCUGCUGGGAAGCCUCCCUGUGCGUCCCAGCUCAGAGACACCUCUGGUCCACACGACCCCAGAUGCCUUCCGGUGUCCGUGUGGCCCUCUGGCACUUGACAUCAGACCGCGUCAACCCACUGCUGAAACGCAAGGGUUCCCGUUACGUUUAGACAGAGACCCUCAUGCUCCUGGUCCUCAGCAGGCAGGCGCAGCUCGACCCCGGCCUAGAUCUGACCCCCUUUCCUCCUGCUCUUGGCUCAUCCAGUCACCUCACCAAGUGUACGUCCGUCUUGAAGCUCUGCUCUUUGACAGUCUUCCCUCAGGUGGAAGUGUCCUCCUGCAGCAGUCCCGGGACCGCCAGCAGGGUGAGCACGCCGUUCCUCUUCCAAAGCUCAGUCCUUCUCCAUAUUUGGGAAUCUGGAGUGGGCUCCCACUGUCUGCCGGGAGCUGUAGUCCCGGGAAGGUGGCUGCUUCUCUCCCGUGGCAAGCAGGCUGUGCUUUCCCCGGAGGACGUCUGGGGACGGGAGCCCCAUGCUGGUGGGACGGGCUGCUGGACUGCUACCUCCAGCUCUCCACAAGCUGGUUCUGAGCGAGGCACCGCCCUUCUGCGACUCGGUCUCCCCCUCUGUAAAAUGGGGGCAACUCCGUCUUUCUAACUGCCAGGUUGUUGGGUGGAGUAUUAGCCAGCGCAUAUUAAGUGCUCUGAGCUCAUUCCAGUGGGGAUUGCUUUCUAAAUAAAGAUUGUUAUAUUUAAAAGGGAAAAUGAUCAUUGCAAUUGCCUCCACAAACCAACGCUUUGCCUGUAGAUCAGUAAGAUUCCCAUUAAUACCUGACGCGCC
Molecule: long non-coding RNA, 1254 nt
Organism: Phyllostomus hastatus (greater spear-nosed bat)
Lineage: Eukaryota; Metazoa; Chordata; Mammalia; Chiroptera; Phyllostomidae
Exons: 4
Source: RefSeq, a predicted model, not a curated record